GACGAACGCUGGCGGCGUGCUUAACACAUGCAAGUUGAACGGUAUGACAUGGAAGCUUGCUGAAGUGUCAUAUAGUAGCGGACGGGUGAGUAAUGCAUGAGAAGCUGCCAUUGGGAGGGGGACAACAGUUGGAAACGGCUGCUAAUACCCCGUAUGCCGGAAGGUGAAAGGGAGCGAUCCGCCCGAUGAGGUGCUCAUGUCCUAUCAGCUGGUUGGUGGGGUAACGGCCUACCAAGGCGACGACGGGUAGCCGGCCUGAGAGGGUGAACGGCCACACUGGAACUGAGAUACGGUCCAGACUCCUACGGGAGGCAGCAGUGGGGAAUAUUGGGCAAUGGGGGGAACCCUGACCCAGCGACGCCGCGUGAGGGAAGACGGCCUUCGGGUUGUAAACCUCUUUUGUACGGGAAGAAGGAAGUGACGGUACUGUACGAAUAAGUCCCGGCUGACUACGUGCCAGCCGCCGCCGUAA
RNAcentral lists this ribosomal RNA (472 nucleotides) under uncultured bacterium. RNAcentral's name for it is "partial 16S ribosomal RNA". It matches the Rfam family "Bacterial small subunit ribosomal RNA", at positions 28 to 523 of the family's 1533-position model. The record is from RNAcentral.